RNAcentral lists this transfer RNA (75 nucleotides) under Phelsuma laticauda (broad-tailed day gecko). RNAcentral's name for it is "tRNA-Asn". The record is from RNAcentral. Lineage: Eukaryota; Metazoa; Chordata; Lepidosauria; Squamata; Gekkonidae.
UCUAGAUCGACGGGCCUUGAUCCCGCAAAUAUUUUAAUUAACAACUAAACGCCCUAUCCAGCGGACUUCAACCUA